RNAcentral lists this ribosomal RNA (441 nucleotides) under actinobacterium SCGC AAA044-O16. RNAcentral describes it as "bacterial SSU rRNA". It matches the Rfam family "Bacterial small subunit ribosomal RNA", at positions 349 to 802 of the family's 1533-position model. Lineage: Bacteria; Bacillati; Actinomycetota; Actinomycetes. The record is from RNAcentral.
CAGCAGUGGGGAAUAUUGGGCAAUGGACGAAAGUCUGACCCAGCGACGCCGCGUGCGGGAUGAAGGCCUUCGGGUUGUAAACCGCUUUCAGCAGGGAAGAAGCGAAAGUGACGGUACCUGCAGAAGAAGCACCGGCUAACUAUGUGCCAGCAGCCGCGGUAAUACAUAGGGUGCAAGCGUUGUCCGGAAUUAUUGGGCGUAAAGAGCUCGUAGGUGGUUAGUUACGUCGGAUGUGAAAAUCUAGGGCUCAACCCUAGACCUGCAUCCGAUACGGGCUAGCUUGAGUUUGGUAGGGGAGACUGGAAUUCCUGGUGUAGCGGUGGAAUGCGCAGAUAUCAGGAGGAACACCAAUGGCGAAGGCAGGUCUCUGGGCCAAUACUGACACUGAGGAGCGAAAGUGUGGGGAGCGAACAGGAUUAGAUACCCCGGUAGUCCGGUCUG